UAGGGAAUCUUCCACAAUGGACGCAAGUCUGAUGGAGCAACGCCGCGUGAGUGAAGAAGGUUUUCGGAUCGUAAAGCUCUGUUGUUGGUGAAGAAGGAUAGAGGCAGUAACUGGUCUUUAUUUGACGGUAAUCAACCAGAAAGUCACGGCUAACUACGUGCCAGCAGCCGCGGUAAUACGUAGGUGGCAAGCGUUGUCCGGAUUUAUUGGGCGUAAAGCGAGCGCAGGCGGAAUGAUAAGUCUGAUGUGAAAGCCCACGGCUCAACCGUGGAACUGCAUCGGAAACUGUCAUUCUUGAGUGCAGAAGAGGAGAGUGGAAUUCCAUGUGUAGCGGUGGAAAGCGUAGAUAUAUGGAAGAACACCAGUGGCGAAGGCGGCUCUCUGGUCUGCAACUGACGCUGAGGCUCGAAAGCAUGGGUAGCGAACAGG
RNAcentral lists this ribosomal RNA (429 nucleotides) under bacterium. Its description in RNAcentral is "partial 16S ribosomal RNA". It matches the Rfam family "Bacterial small subunit ribosomal RNA", at positions 355 to 776 of the family's 1533-position model. The record is from RNAcentral.